RNAcentral lists this ribosomal RNA (45 nucleotides) under Klossia helicina. RNAcentral describes it as "large subunit ribosomal RNA". The record is from RNAcentral. RNAcentral also lists the same sequence under 3 other names. Lineage: Eukaryota; Apicomplexa; Adeleidae.
GGACUCCAGGCGUUAACCUGUAGAGUUGAGAUGGAAACAGCCGGA